CCCCUGGGACAGGACUUGAGAGCUGGACAGGGCUCCACCCAAGAGGCGGGCCACACAGAGAAAACAGCUGGGGCAGAGAAGCAGGGGAGACAUCUUUCCUCCACCAUCUGCAAGCCCAUCAGAUGGCCUCAUUACUGUUUUUCAUUAAACUUGUAGCCUCCCCUGGAACUGCUGAAUCAACCAAGAAAUCAUGCAGCACAUUUACAGGAGCUCACGCUGUUUUCAUUAACUCCCCUUAGUAUCACAGAGGAGGCUGGGUCAAGCGAGCCCUUCGCCAUGACCCGUAACUCGAAAAGUGAGCGUCUUCUUAUGAGAGCCGGCUUUGAGCAACUUACUGUGGACCGCGGAAAUGUUCCUUUUUCACCUCUGCAGAAAGCAAAGCCUGCCUUGGAAUGUAGUGGAAAUAACCCACCACAGAAGAAAUAGUCUCUGAGCCCAAGAACUUUUGCUGGGAAUUUUGGCUUUUGCUACAGCCUCCUGCUGGGAAGGAAGAAACCUUGUCUCUUUCCACCACCUCACCUCCUCUUUCCAUCCAGAGGUCACCCACCUAACUGAGACAGGAUGAAGGGGGCUGAUGGGCUGGGCCCGGUGCUCCCUGGCCUGUACCUACGCUGUCCAAAAGGAAUAUAACAUAAGCUACUCGAGUAAUUUUAAAUUUUCUAGUGGCUACAUCAAAAAAAGUAAAAAGAAACAAAUGAAAUUAAUUUCAAUAAUAUGUCUUAUCCCAAAAUAUUAUCAUGUCAACCUGCAAUCAGUAUCAAACUUAUUAACGAGGCAUUUUACUUUUUUUUUU
This is a long non-coding RNA of Neofelis nebulosa (Clouded leopard), 793 nucleotides long. RefSeq lists it as uncharacterized. The record is from RefSeq and is a predicted model, not a curated record. Lineage: Eukaryota; Metazoa; Chordata; Mammalia; Carnivora; Felidae. The transcript is spliced from 2 exons.